UGCGGGGUGGAGCAGUCUGGUAGCUCGUCGGGCUCAUAACCCGAAGGUCAUAGGUUCAAAUCCUAUCUCCGCUA
This 74-nucleotide transfer RNA is filed under the name Candidatus Shikimatogenerans bostrichidophilus. Its description in RNAcentral is "tRNA-Met". It matches the Rfam family "tRNA". Rfam says of the family: Transfer RNA (tRNA) molecules are approximately 80 nucleotides in length. Their secondary structure includes four short double-helical elements and three loops (D, anti-codon, and T loops). The record is from RNAcentral. Lineage: Bacteria; Pseudomonadati; Bacteroidota; Flavobacteriia; Flavobacteriales.